Molecule: ribosomal RNA, 466 nt
Filed under: uncultured bacterium
Lineage: Bacteria
Description: bacterial SSU rRNA
Rfam family: Bacterial small subunit ribosomal RNA
Source: RNAcentral
GGCCAGACUCCUACGGGAGGCAGCAGUGAGGAAUAUUGGUCAAUGGCCGAGAGGCUGAACCAGCCAAGUCGCGUGAGGGAAGAAUGUCCUAUGGAUUGUAAACCUCUUUUGUCAGGGAGCAAAGUCACCCACGUGUGGGUGUUGGAGAGUACCUGAAGAAAAAGCAUCGGCUAACUCCGUGCCAGCAGCCGCGGUAAUACGGAGGAUCCGAGCGUUAUCCGGAUUUAUUGGGUUUAAAGGGAGCGUAGGUGGAUUGUUAAGUCAGUUGUGAAAGUUUGCGGCUCAACCGUAAAAUUGCAGUUGAAACUGGCAGUCUUUAGUACAGUAGAGGUGGGCGGAAUUCGUGGUGUAGCGGUGAAAUGCUUAGAUAUCACGAAGAACUCCGAUUGCGAAGGCAGCUUACUAAACUGCCACUGACAUUGAUGCUCGAAAGUGUGGGUAUCAAACAGGAUUAGAUACCCUUGUA